UGGACAAUGAGCCGGGCCGCUGGAAGCUGCGGCCACUUAUAGGGGAACGUGGGCGGGCCCGCGGCUCAGCCGCUCCACCUGCGAGGAGAGGGCGGGAUGCCAGAGCCAGGUGUCCCGGCGCGCUAAGGCCCCUCACGGCGAGGCGUCUCUGAGCUGGUCUUCGCGUUGCCACUGGGCUGCCUGCAGGUUUUGGCUGGGACGGUUUCCUGCGGGGAGCCCUCGGAGCAGCCUCGAUGGCCAGCACCAGGAGCAUUGAGCUGGAACACUUUGAGGAACGGGACAAAAGGCCGCGGCCAGGGUCGCGGAGAGGGGCGCCCAGCUCCUCCGGGGGCAGCAGCAGCUCGGGCCCCAAGGGCAACGGGCUCAUCCCUAGCCCGGCGCACAGUGCCCACUGCAGCUUCUACCGCACGCGGACCCUGCAGGCCCUGAGCUCGGAGAAGAAGGCCAAGAAAGCGCGCUUUUACCGGAAUGGGGACCGCUACUUCAAGGGCUUGCUGUUUGCCAUCUCCAGCGACCGCUUCCGGUCCUUCGAUGCGCUGCUCAUGGAGCUCACCCGCUCCCUGUCCGACAACGUGAACCUGCCCCAGGGUGUCCGCACCAUCUACACCAUCGACGGCAGCAAGAAGGUCACCAGCUUGGACGAGCUGCUGGAAGGUGAGAGCUACGUAUGUGCGUCGAACGAACCAUUUCGUAAAGUUGAUUACACCAAAAAUACUAAUCCGAACUGGUCUGUGAACAUCAAGGGUGGGGCAACCCGUGCCGCGGCAGCUCCCUCCUCGGUGAAGAGCGAGGUGAAGGAAAGUAAAGAUUUCAUCAAACCCAAGUUAGUGACUGUGAUCCGGAGUGGCGUGAAGCCUAGGAAAGCCGUGCGGAUCCUUCUCAAUAAGAAGACUGCUCAUUCCUUUGAACAAGUCUUAACAGAUAUCACCGAAGCCAUUAAACUAGACUCAGGAGUGGUCAAGAGGCUCUGCACACUGGACGGGAAGCAGGUUACUUGCCUGCAAGACUUUUUUGGUGAUGAUGAUGUUUUUAUUGCAUGUGGACCUGAAAAAUUCCGUUAUGCCCAAGACGACUUUGUCCUGGAUCACAGCGAAUGUCGUGUCUUGAAGUCGUCUUAUUCUCGCUCCCCAGCUAAGUAUUCUGGAUCCAAAAGCCCUGGGUUCUCUCGACGCAGCAAAUCGCCAGCCUCAGUUAACGGGACUCCGAGCAGCCAGCUCUCCACUCCUAAGUCGACGAAGUCCUCCAGUUCCUCUCCAACUAGCCCAGGGAGUUUCAGAGGACUAAAGCAGAUUUCUGCACACGGCAGAUCUUCUUCCAACAUAAAUGGUGGACCAGAACUUGAUCGCUGCAUGAGUCCUGAAGGAGUGAAUGGAAACAGGUGCUCUGAAUCCUCGACACUUCUUGAGAAAUAUAAAAUCGGAAAGGUUAUUGGUGAUGGCAAUUUUGCAGUCGUCAAAGAGUGUGUAGACAGGUCCACUGGGAAGGAGUUUGCCCUGAAGAUCAUAGACAAAGCGAAAUGCUGCGGAAAGGAGCACCUGAUUGAGAACGAAGUGUCCAUCCUGCGCCGGGUGAAACACCCGAACAUCAUCAUGCUGGUUGAGGAGAUGGAAACGGCCACUGAGCUCUUUCUGGUGAUGGAACUGGUCAAAGGCGGAGACCUCUUUGAUGCAAUCACCUCUUCAACCAAGUACACCGAGCGCGACGGCAGUGCCAUGGUGCACAACCUGGCCAACGCCCUCAGGUACCUCCACGGCCUCAGCAUCGUGCACAGAGACAUCAAGCCGGAGAACCUCCUGGUGUGUGAGUAUCCCGAUGGCACCAAGUCUCUGAAGCUGGGCGACUUUGGGCUGGCCACGGUGGUGGAAGGCCCCCUGUACACCGUCUGCGGCACCCCGACUUACGUGGCCCCAGAAAUCAUUGCCGAAACCGGCUAUGGCUUGAAGGUGGACGUUUGGGCGGCUGGCGUGAUCACGUACAUACUCCUCUGUGGGUUCCCGCCUUUCCGAAGUGAGAACAAUCUUCAGGAAGAUCUCUUUGACCAGAUCUUGGCUGGGAAGCUGGAGUUUCCAGCCCCCUAUUGGGAUAACAUCACAGACUCGGCAAAGGAAUUAAUCAGUCAGAUGCUUCAGGUCAACGUUGAAGCUCGCUGCACCGCGGGAGACAUCCUGAGUCACCCCUGGGUGUCCGACGACGCCUCCCAGGAGAACAACAUGCAGGCCGAAGUCACAGGGAAACUGAAGCAGCACUUCACCAACGCGCUGCCCAAACACAACAGCACCACCACCGGGGUCUCCGUCAUCGUGAACACGGCUCUAGAUAAGGAGGGGCAGAUCUUCGGCAGCAAACCCUGUCAGGACAGCGGCCGACCCUUGGUGGAGCCCUCCUGUCCAGUUCCUCCCUGUGCUGAGGAGCCCCUGGUGCCAGGGCCGGCAGCCCCGGCUCCUGCCCCGCCGCAGUCUCCCACGCCCCCCUGCCCUCCCGCUGCCACGGGCUGUGAGCGGGCAGGGACCUGGCGCCGCCACCGUGACUGAUGCUGGCAGGCAGGCCAGAGCCUGGACGGCCGGUCCUCAGGCCGCCACACGACCCGGUUCACGGCCUGGGCUGCGCCCUCCAGUUCCCAGGGUGUCACAUGCAGCCUCAGCCUUGGUGACAGGUGUUCAGAGCGGCUUGUUUUCAAUUAUCUUACUUUCGGUUCAACAGACAUUUUACAGUGGCACCAGGAGAAUGUGCAACUUUUUUCCAGGAUUUAAUGCAUUUUUCUAGAAACACUUCAGAUGAGCCAAGACCUCUCCCUUAUUUAAAGAAACUCGGAGCGCUCCCUUUUUCUUACAAAGAACUUUGAACUGCAUCUGCCCCUCGGCGGGUGUCCUGUGAAAGGUGACGUGGCAUCUUCCUUGGUGGACGGGGUUGGAGGACUGGCUUUCCACCGGGAGAAACGACGUGGAGAGACAAUCCGGCCUCCGCACUGAUCCCACCCAGGGUCUGCUAAGGGCUUCCGGGCACUGCCACGCGGCCCCGGGUGCUGGGCUCACUGCAGACAGCACAGGGCAUCUGUUUGUGCACGGACCGCAGGGGAGGGAGGGCACUUUCUCCCCCAGACAUCGUGUGUUUCCUCCCAACUCUCCCACAUGUGAAUUAAGAAUGCUGACGAAGCCGUCACCUGGGCCUUUUUCCUGAAACGGCCGGCGCAGGCGGCGUCAGCGGCAUCAGCUCUAGCGGAGCAGGAUGGCCCGGGCGUCCGCAGCGCUUCUCUCCGGGGCCGCGGACACCGCAGCCUGGGAGACCGCAGCAGCAGAGGCCCUGGGCGAAGGUGCUCCGCAGACCCCUCCGUAUCACCCUUCGGAAGGCUGCUGGCAGUUUUCCCUGUUUUCCACCACUCUGCUCUUUUUAAUGACUGUACAUAGUAGUGUUUGUCCUACCUGCUCGCCUUCUAAACCGGCGGGCCCUGUAGUUCCUUUGCACUGUUAGAUUUUUUCCCCACAUGUGUACCCGACCUGCAAUAAACUCUUAUUGAGAAAAAGGAGUCGGGUGGGCAGAGGUUUCUGUCUCCUUUUUCGAAGGGUGCGUGGUCAUGGGCCCAGGUGCCGGGAUGUUUGACAAGUCCUGGGGGCUGCUGGGGGAGGAGAGAAUGGUGCUUGGGGAGUGUCUUCUUGGAGGCUAUUCGAUUACAGGUGCAGCUACACAUGCCGCAGAGCUGGACAGGGGUCGUGGACAUGCGACGGAUCUUACAGCAGCCACGGCAGGAGCUGGGGUGAUCAGCAUCUAAAGACCUUGAUUGACCUUGGGAAAGGGGUAGAAAAGACAAGCAGUGACCUGCCGGAGCCGUCUCGAGGCCCAGCAGUUGAGCCAGGAGCCUGUGAGCAUGUGUCUCUUCGUGGGGGCCGCUGUGACGUGGGAAUGUGCGGAACAUGUGAAUUAAAAGUGUUCAGCAGACCCUUCCCGGAGUAUUUCCGUGGGUCGCCGUGUGGUGUGGGAGGCAGGAGGGAAGCAGCCCGGCCAUGUUGGCAGGACGGCUGCGGACGGACACAGCACCGAGUUGGAGAGAGGCGGCUAGGGCAGCUGGCCGGCCCACGGGGGGAGAAAGUAAGCUACGCAGUUCGCCGUUUUCUGGUGCCAGAUCACAAAAAGUUGAGAGAGGAACAGGGGAGAGUAACAGUAUCAUGUUUUAUUUAACGCGAUAUAUCUAAAUACAUUCCAAAGCAUUAUUUCAGCUUGUCAUCAACAUUUAACCACCCCUGGGAUAUGGUACGUUUUCCGAACUAAGUCUUUGAAACGGGUGUGUGUUCACGCUGAAGGCACAUGUCGGGGUGGGUGAGGCUCAUUCACGCCCCGAUGGCCGCCCCUGGCUGUGCUGUGGCUCUUCAGAGAGGCCUUGGCCGCCUCUCUGUCCUCACUGCUGUGUGGUUCGUGCCCCUGACGUGAACAGUGACAUGGGGAGCAGGCUGCUCUGCUGGUUUAAGUGUGGAGUGGAUGGAAUGAUUCCAACACUUGUGCAGACGAAGCACCUGGUGUCUGAGUGUGGGCUGUGCCCGUGGGCCGUGCCGGACGCGGAGGGUUCAGUGGUCGCUGUUUCCUUAGAUGCCGACAGAGUGGUAUACACGUCGGCACCGUCCUAGGCCGCACUGUGAGGGGCGUGUGCAGACUGUGGCAGUGUGACGCGGCCUUCCUGGGUAUGAGCUGUGUUCUGGGACCUCCAGGUGUGCAGUGCUGGCCACACAGCCACCCCCAGGGGGCAGCUGGGUGGCCAGGGGUUCAGAGCGCUGGUGACCAAGGGCUGGCUGGAAAGGUGUUAGGGGAGACCAGAGGCACAUCCGCUAGGUGUGUGUGGCUGCAGAAGACCUGCUCCGUAGCAGGGGCGCAGACUUCACUUAGUGGCUCUGGAGGGCGGCCCGAGGUCAGUAGGUAGGAGUCCCACAGGGUCGGGUGUGAGUGUGGCAUCGGAGGAAGUCUGAUCGCAGGGCAGUCAGUCUGCUGGUCUGGUGAUGGAGUGAGCUGCUUUGCAAAGGAGUGACCACCUGGUUCUUGGAAAUGCCUGGAUGCCGACUCAUCAGCACCACAAACAUCAGCGUGCGGAGUAUUGCAUCCUGCCUCCUUUGAGCCGCACCACAGGCCCCGAGAGGAAGAUGCUCAUAUCCCCCUUCAUUAAAUGCGACACUUGGACUGGCUGGAGCUGGGGCCGGCCCUCCACGCUCCCAGGGCAGCUGUCCUGCGGGCUGGGCUGCCCCUCCAGGUGCUUCAGAGGGAUUGUUUUUCCUGUAGGGUAGAGGUGGGACGGGGCGGGGAACACACCCGGCAAAGUGGUAGAGAAUUGAGGGGCUAAGAUGCUAACAGCUGGGGAGAAUAAGGGGUCUCUCCAGAGGGAGACCUGUGUGGAUGACUGUGGUUAGCCUUGUCCGGGGGGUCUGAAGGGGCCGCCUGAAGGUUGAACCUGUGGCCCCAAACUCCAAGGCAGUUAGCAGGGGAGUUGUCACCACUGAAUGGCUGCAGGGAAGAAAGCGGUGUGUUUGGUAAGGCAGUGGUCCUCUGCAGCUGGCACACCCCUUCCCAAAAAUAAUUCCUCUCACUCGGGGCUGAGCUGCGCUCCUCAGGCCUCCGGUGUGGUCAGGGUGGGUCCAGCCUGCUGGCUCGGCCAGGUGAGUCAUGAGCACUGGGCACCUGUCUGUGAUGAGUUCGAAGCUGCAGAGCGGCCAGCUGCUUCCUGCCAGGUCUGAGGCAAUAGCAGCCUUCCCAGCUCCCUGCAGAUCUUGGUUUUGGCAAGAAAAAUAUUCCUGAAAGACAGAAAAAUAAUUCUCAUCUCUGGCUGCUGCAGCCUCAGCCUUCUUCACGGGUACAUCUGUAGAUUGCCUCCUGCCCUUGCGGAGCACCCGGCCGUCUCGGGAAGACAGCUUCCCAGGGCGCUCCGAGUUUCAUUAGAGAGACAAAUGCGACGUCCCUUGGUGUGAGCCAUCUGCAUUUCCGGUUCACAGCAGCCAGGGCUGGCAGUGAUGUGUCAGUGUCACUAAUAGUGGCCUGGAGCUUUUUAAAUGGUGAUCUUGUGACUUUGGGGGACCCGAGAAAUGCAUCAUGGGCUACACUUUUCUAGUCUAAGGGAAUCCGAAAGAUGUUUCUCCUGAUCAUCUGUAAUAGAAAACUAUUUUAUUUAAUUUUAUCGAUUUGCUGUUGACGGCCUCGCCCUUCCUUUUCGGGUGGACGGUUGGAAACGUCCCAGCUUCCCUGCAGUGAUAACGUGACCCCUUCAGGAGGAAUGAGCGUCCUUCCACUUGGUGCCACAAGGGACACGGCUCAUGGGGCUGGUCACUCUCCCUCCUCAGUGGGGCAGGUGGGCGUAGCCACGUGGAGGCACCAGCGUGUGUGCUGAUACGCCUGGGUUGCACAGGUGUUGAGAUUAAGUGGUGUGCCCUCUGUUCUGUGCUUGUGAACAUGCUCUGGCCCAACGUGAUGUUCUGUGGUGACAUGGGGCUAUGAGGCCCGUGGCUACUCCACGACCCUUCCAGCUGCUGCUUGUCGCAGAGGGAGCCAUAUUGUCGGUCUGCUGUGCUCUUUAGCGGUGACGCAGCAGGAAGGACCAAGCCAGGUCCAUGAGCUGCGUGGCUCUCACUUGAAAUGGUGACCACAGCCAGUAAAAUGUACUGAUGGCACCUAGUGAGAGUCUCUCCCCUCACAUUCCCGUCUUGGUAGAUCCAUUACAUCAUCUGUUUUAAUUCACCUGCAUUUGCUGAAAGGGUGCAGCGUGCAUGGGUUCCCUGGCCCCCUUCUGUGAACUUGACCCAGAUGACCUCUGCAGUCUCACCGGCCCCCUGACAGAGAGGUGGGAGGACACAGCACCAGGUAUGUGUGGUCAGGCUUUGGCCCUUCAGCUCUGCUCUUGGAGCUGAACGGGAAGGGCAGCCCAGGGCUGCAGGUCCCACACGGAUGCCUCAAAUCUCAUCCUGUAAGCUCAGCAAGAGUUGAAGUGUGAUGUUACCCCAGGGCCUCAGGGGUUCCUGUGUAUUGCGUUACUGUAUGAGAAUGUUUGUCCGUGGGUCUGCUGCACUUCGGGACUGAGAUGCUCCCCUCUGAGUGACCCGUCCACCAUCUGUGCUGCUGUGCUCGUCCGACAUCCACCUUCUGUUGUCCAAGCCCUCCCGCUGCCCUGCAUUCCAGGGCCUCAAGGACUCGACGGGCAGAGUUUCAGAAAGAGUGAGUACCGCCAGGGAGGGAGGUGUUACUGCCUGGAGGCCGUGCGCCGCCGCAUCCCCUGCCUGAGGUGGUUUUUCCUGAUUGGCUUAUGCUUAUGCUUAUUAAAAAUGUGGUUUUUUUUUUUUAAGAACAAAGUUAAAAUUGAAUGAAUGUUGAGUAAACCCUACCAAACACGGUACUACAUUAGAUUCUAUCAUUAGGAAGCUCUUGUUGAUGCUAGCUACAUUUGUUACCUGAAAAUUCUGUUAAUUUUCUAUAGUUCUGAUUUUUAAAAGCAAUAUAAAGGCAACAGAGGUAGUUGCUUUAGGCUUGUACUAUGGGAUAAAGUAUCAUGUGCCCAGCAUGUGACUUAGGUAUUCCUAAUUUUUUCUCCCAUUUUCCCUAAACUUCCAAAGUACAAGACCACAGGUUAAAAUCCAGGGGAUGUUAAGGGUUACAUUAGGGGGAUAUCUGGCUAAUUUACCAGUGACAGGGCAGCUCCUCUUCUAAGAUGUCCUUUACCAUCUCUUGUUUUCCUUUAAUGGGUUACAAAGCCAGGGCGGGUUUUAGAAGACUCAGGAUGCAAAGUUCCUUGUUGAUCCUUUGGGAGACAGACGCUCAGAGUUCCCCUCUGCAGGGCCUGAAAAAGCGGGUGGGGCCGAGGAGUCCUGUUCCCACCCCACCCCCACCCACCAAGGGUUUUUAGUCAAGGUCUCUCUCCUCUUGGUGGUGGUUCAAACUGUGACUUAGAGUUGGAUGAUUUUUUUGUGAAUAAUUAAGUUUUCUGUCAAACGGAGCUGUUCUCUCCACCCUGUGUUUUCAGGGAAGCGCCGAGAGGCAGACACGCAGAAGCGGCUGCCACGGAAGCCGCCAGAGACACGGGAGGGAUGCCCAGGUU
This is an RNA transcript of Artibeus jamaicensis (Jamaican fruit-eating bat), 8056 nucleotides long. It is a transcript of the gene named doublecortin like kinase 2, with no coding region annotated. NCBI's taxonomy places the organism in Eukaryota, Metazoa, Chordata, Mammalia, Chiroptera, Phyllostomidae. The transcript has 17 exons. The record is from RefSeq and is a predicted model, not a curated record.